RNAcentral lists this long non-coding RNA (3119 nucleotides) under Gossypium barbadense (sea-island cotton). RNAcentral's name for it is "long non-coding RNA (GBAR_LNC013862)". The record is from RNAcentral. Lineage: Eukaryota; Viridiplantae; Streptophyta; Magnoliopsida; Malvales; Malvaceae.
GAAGCCUUAUGAAUACAAGUCUCCACCACCACCACCGAAAGAGAAGCCUUAUGAAUACAAGUCUCCACCACCUCCAUCACCUUCUCCACCACCUCCUUAUGUGUAUAAGUCUCCUCCACCUCCACCAAAGCAUGAGGAGAAGCCUUAUGAAUACAAGUCUCCACCACCACCACCGAAGGAGAAGCCUUAUGAAUACAAGUCUCCACCACCACCACCUCCAUCUCCAUCACCACCUCCUCCAUACUACUAUAAAUCUCCACCACCUCCAUCACCAUCACCACCACCUCCAUACUACUACAAGUCCCCACCACCACCACCAAAGCAUGAAGAACAACCACCAUAUUACUACAAGUCACCUCCUCCUCCAUCUCCAUCACCACCUCCUCCAUACUACUACAAGUCCCCACCACCUCCUUCACCAUCACCACCACCUCCAUACUACUACAAGUCUCCACCACCACCAAAACACGUAGAGCAACCCCCAUACUACUACAAGUCUCCUCCACCUCCAUCACCCUCACCACCACCACCUUACUACUAUAAAUCUCCACCACCACCUUCACCAUCUCCACCACCUCCUUACUACUACAAGUCCCCACCACCUCCAUCUCCAUCACCACCUCCUCCAUACUACUACAAAUCUCCACCACCACCACCAAAGCAUGAAGAACAACCCCCAUACUACUACAAGUCUCCACCACCACCUUCACCAUCUCCUCCACCACCUUACUACUACAAAUCUCCACCACCACCCCCACAUUACGUCUCACCACCAUACUACUACAAAUCUCCACCACCACCAGUGAAGUCUCCUCCCUACUACUACCAUUCUCCUCCACCACCAACUCCUUACUACCCCCACCCCCACCCUCACCCCCACCCCCACCCACAUCCGCUCAUAGUCAGGGUGGUCGGAAAAGUUUACUGCUACAGAUGCUAUGACUCAAGCUACCCAGAGAAAUCACACGGCAAGAAACAUCUCGAAGGUAAAUUAAUUCAUACAUUAAUGCAUUUAUUAAUUGAUUUAUUUUCAAUUUCGUAUGUUUUAUUUAUUUCUUAGUUUCAAAUUUUUGUGGAACUUUGUCACGUGAUUUAGAGGUUAAAAUAAGAUGUUUAUGAAUAUUUUAAUUCAAAUAGACGUAAACAUAAUAAUUAAAGGAAUCUGAAGUUAUUCUUCUGGAAGUUUAAAAAAAAUUAAAAAAUAGAUUAUAAAAAUAAACAAAGUCUGUUUUUGUUUCUUAUAUGUUUGAAAAUAAAUUAUGACUCUAUUGUCUGUCUAUGUAAUAUUUUUAUAUAAUUUAAUAUUCAAUUCAUAAUAAUUUAAUGAUAAAAACUAUUGUUAUAAAUUACUCUAAAAUUAUAGCUUUCUUUAUUAAGGGCUGCACCAUAUAUGGAUGCACAAGUCAACAUAAGUAGUGAACACAUAAGUCAUGUCUAUGGAAAAACUGUUUUUUUUUUUUUUGAUUAAAUUAAUUCAUGGAAAGACAAAAUUAGUUAUAAAAUAGUUGAUGUCUAAAUAGAAAAAAGAUAUUUUGAUUGACUUUUUAGCAAAAAAGAAACUAAAUUUUCAAUUAUUGCACAUGGAGCAGGUGCUACUGUGGAAGUGACUUGCAAGGAGGGUGAAAAGGAAAUCACUGUCUAUGGAAAGACCAAAAACAACGGCAAAUUUGCUGUCACUGUUGAUGGGUUUGAUUAUGGCAAAUACGGAGCCAAGGCAUGCAUUGCCAAGCUUCAUGCCCCACCCAAGGGUUCAUCAUGCAACAUACCCAUGAGUGUACAUGAUGGCAUCAAGGGUGCUGUGCUCAAGGUCAAGUCAGAGGACAAUUAUGAGGUUGUGCUAAGAGCUAAGCCAUUUGGUUAUGGUUCAAAGAAACCUUACAAGAAGUGUGAAAAGUACACUCCUAAGCCUCCGACUCAUCCGUACAAGCCACCACCGUACUACUAUAAGUCUCCACCUCCUCCGGCUCCCACUUACGUUUACAAGUCACCACCUCCACCAUCACCAACUUAUGUUUACAAGUCACCUCCACCUCCUGUGUACUACUACAAGUCUCCACCACCACCAAAGCAUGUGGAACAACCUCCAUACUACUAUAAGUCUCCACCUCCACCGGCUCCCACUUAUGUUUACAAGUCACCACCUCCACCAUCGCCGACUUAUGUUUACAAGUCACCUCCACCACCUGUGUACUACUACAAAUCACCACCACCACCCACUUAUGUCUACAAGUCUCCACCACCACCAAAGCAUGUAGAGCAGCCCCCGUACUACUACAAAUCUCCUCCACCACCAUCGCCAUCUCCUCCUCCACCAUACUAUUACAAGUCCCCACCACCACCAGUUCACUCUCCACCACCACCAUACUACUACAAGUCCCCACCACCACCAAAACAUGUGGAGCAACCUCCAUACUACUACAAAUCUCCUCCUCCACCAUCGCCAUCUCCUCCACCACCAUACUACUACAAAUCCCCACCACCACCAAAACAUGUAGAGGAGCCCCCAUACUACUACAAAUCUCCUCCACCACCAUCACCAUCUCCUCCUCCACCAUACUACUACAAGUCCCCACCACCACCAAAACAUGUGGAGCAACCUCCAUACUACUACAAAUCACCCCCACCACCAUCGCCAUCUCCUCCUCCACCAUACUACUACAAGUCCCCACCACCACCGAAGCAUGUAGAGGAGCCCCCAUACUACUACAAGUCUCCCCCACCACCAUCGCCAUCUCCUCCUCCACCAUACUAUUACAAAUCUCCUCCACCACCAUCACCAUCUCCUCCUCCACCAUACUACUACAAGUCCCCACCACCACCGAAACAUGUAGAGGAGCCCCCAUACAUCUACAAAUCUCCUCCACCACCAUCGCCAUCUCCUCCUCCACCAUACUACUACAAGUCCCCACCACCCCCGAAGCAUGUAGAGGAGCCCCCAUACUACUACAAGUCUCCCCCACCACCAUCGCCAUCUCCUCCUCCACCAUACUAUUACAAAUCUCCUCCACCACCAUCGCCAUCUCCUCCUCCACCAUACUACUACAAGUCCCCACCACCACCGAAACAUGUAGAGGAGCCCCCAUACAUCUACAAAUCUCCUCCACCACCAUCGCCAUCUC